Molecule: ribosomal RNA, 493 nt
Filed under: uncultured bacterium
Lineage: Bacteria
Description: partial 16S ribosomal RNA
Rfam family: Bacterial small subunit ribosomal RNA
Source: RNAcentral
GACGAACGCUGGCGGCGUGCUUAACACAUGCAAGUCGAACGGUGAAGCGCCUUCCUUUUUGGUGGGUGUGGAUGAGUGGCGAACGGGUGAGUAACACGUGAGUAACCUGCCCCCUUCUUCUGGAUAACCGCAUGAAAGUGUGGCUAAUACGGGAUAUUCUGGGUCUGUCGCAUGAUGGGUCUGGGAAAGAUAUUGUUUCGGUGGGGGAUGGGCUCGCGGCCUAUCAGCUUGUUGGUGGGGUGAUGGCCUACCAAGGCGGUGACGGGUAGCCGGCCUGAGAGGGUGGACGGUCACACUGGGACUGAGACACGGCCCAGACUCCUACGGGAGGCAGCAGUGGGGAAUAUUGCACAAUGGGCGCAAGCCUGAUGCAGCGACGCCGCGUGAGGGAUGGAGGCCUUCGGGUUGUGAACCUCUUUCGCCAGUGAAGCAGGCCUCCUCGUUUGUGGGUGGGUUGACGGUAGCUGGAUAAGAAGCGCCGGCUAACUACGUG